GGGAUGGUACACAGCAUAUUCAAAAAGGGGUAGCUAUCGUGAUUGAUAGUAAAGUUUGAAAAUGAUAGGUUGUACUUAUUCUAGUUUAACAUCUUCAAUAUUUAUUACUUACUUUCCUUUCUAUGCCGGUUGGUUAAAUCCAACCGGUUUUCUU
Staphylococcus sp. HGB0015 is the source of this 154-nucleotide small RNA. It matches the Rfam family "RNA S.aureus Orsay G". The record is from Rfam. NCBI's taxonomy places the organism in Bacteria, Bacillati, Bacillota, Bacilli, Caryophanales, Staphylococcaceae.